GGUCCCAUAGCUCAGUUGGUUAGAGCGUCGUACUAAUAUCUUCGAUCAAUACCUUGAAAUAUUAAGUAAAUGCGAAGGCCGAGAGUUCAAGCCUCUCUGGGACCA
Non-coding RNA from Jackrogersella minutella, 105 nucleotides. NCBI's taxonomy places the organism in Eukaryota, Fungi, Ascomycota, Sordariomycetes, Xylariales, Hypoxylaceae. The record is from the annotation of a GenBank genome assembly.